AAUUAUUGGGCGUAAAGAGCUCGUAGGCGGUUUGUCGCGUCUGCUGUGAAAUCCCGAGGCUCAACCUCGGGUCUGCAGUGGGUACGGGCAGACUAGAGUGCGGUAGGGGAGAUUGGAAUUCCUGGUGUAGCGGUGGAAUGCGCAGAUAUCAGGAGGAACACCGAUGGCGAAGGCAGAUCUCUGGGCCGUAACUGACGCUGAGGAGCGAAAGCAUGGGGAGCGAACAGGAUUAGAUACCCUGGUAGUCCAUGCCGUAAACGUUGGGAACUAGAUGUGGGGACCAUUCCACGGUCUCCGUGUCGCAGCUAACGCAUUAAGUUCCCCGCCUGGGGAGUACGGCCGCAAGGCUAAAACUCAAAGGAAUUGACGGGGGCCCGCACAAGCGGCGGAGCAUGCGGAUUAAUUCGAUGCAACGCGAAGAACCUUACCAAGGCUUGACAUAUACCGGAAACGUGCAGAGAUGUGCGCCCCGCAAGGUCGGUAUACAGGUGGUGCAUGGUUGUCGUCAGCUCGUGUCGUGAGAUGUUGGGUUAAGUCCCGCAACGAGCGCAACCCUCGUUCUAUGUUGCCAGCACGUAAUGGUGGGAACUCAUAGGAGACUGCCGGGGUCAACUCGGAGGAAGGUGGGGAUGACGUCAAAUCAUCAUGCCCCUUAUGUCUUGGGCUUCACGCAUGCUACAAUGGCCGGUACAAAGGGCUGCGAUACCGUAAGGUGGAGCGAAUCCCAAAAAGCCGGUCUCAGUUCGGAUUGAGGUCUGCAACUCGACCUCAUGAAGUCGGAGUCGCUAGUAAUCGCAGAUCAGCAACGCUGCGGUGAAUACGUUCCCGGGCCUUGUACACACCGCCCGUCAAGUCAUGAAAGUCGGUAACACCCGAAGCCAGUG
This 884-nucleotide ribosomal RNA is filed under the name Clavibacter michiganensis. RNAcentral's name for it is "bacterial SSU rRNA". It matches the Rfam family "Bacterial small subunit ribosomal RNA", at positions 549 to 1432 of the family's 1533-position model. The record is from RNAcentral. Lineage: Bacteria; Bacillati; Actinomycetota; Actinomycetes; Micrococcales; Microbacteriaceae.